CGGGACGUGGCGCAGUUUGGUAGCGCACUUGACUGGGGGUCAAGGGGUCGUCGGUUCGAAUCCGGCCGUCCCGA
Molecule: non-coding RNA, 74 nt
Organism: Micromonospora humi
Lineage: Bacteria; Bacillati; Actinomycetota; Actinomycetes; Micromonosporales; Micromonosporaceae
Source: Rfam